Molecule: long non-coding RNA, 746 nt
Organism: Helianthus annuus (common sunflower)
Lineage: Eukaryota; Viridiplantae; Streptophyta; Magnoliopsida; Asterales; Asteraceae
Exons: 3
Source: RefSeq, a predicted model, not a curated record
CCGGCUAUAAAUACCUUCUAAAACACGCUUUUUUUGUAAUCCCUGUUCUAAACCCUAGCCUCCCCUUCCUUCCUCUUCUACAUCAGUCAUCGCCGCCAUCACUGAAUAAGGAUUAAGAUAUCGAUCAACCACUACAGGUAUGUUCUUGAUCUUCAAAUUAACUCCAUGUGUAAGAGUAUGGUGACGGUGGUGGUGGUGGUAGCCUUAAGAGUAACGAAUCUGUAUGUUCUUUGACUCUAUCCUUUUUUUGGUAUGAAAACCCUAACUCGCAUCUUUGAACAAUCGAUGCCAAACCCUCAAGGUAAGUUUGAAAUUAAGUAAUCUACGCCACUGCAUGUGAUUUUCAUUUGAUUUUCAAUGUUCAACGCAGAUUUUAUUCGACACCACGAUGUUUGAUUUACUAACAUUCAUCUACUAUCUGUGUCUGUUCAUGGAUUUGGGGUUUUUGAUGAUUCUCGACUGUUACAACUUGCGUUUCUGUUGAUUAUCUUCUUGGAUUGGUUGAGCAGAGCCACAAACUGGGCUAAAUUCGGUGCAACAGCCGGGUUAGGUGUACCAAUGUGAAGGUGGUUCAGCAUGGUGGUUGCUUAGGCCUUGGCUUGGCAGCUUUAAGGACCGCUGAUGAAGAUAUAUACGAUGAGAUAAAAAGUGUCCUCUACAAUGACAGUGUUGUUGCAGGUGAAGCUGCGGGCAUUAGCAUAGGCUUACUAAUGGUGGGGACUGCAAGUGAGAAGGCAUCAGAGAUG